ACAUCCAGAGAAUUUAGCAGAGAUGCUUUAGUGCCUUCGGGAACUCUGAGACAGGUGCUGCAUGGCUGUCGUCAGCUCGUGUUGUGAAAUGUUGGGUUAAGUCCCGNAACGAGCGCAACCUUAUCCUUUGUUGCCAGCACGUAAUGGUGGGAACUCAAAGGAGACUGCCGGUGAUAAACCGGAGGAAGGUGGGAUGACGUCAAGUCAUCAUGGCCCUUACGAGUAGGGCUACACACGUGCUACAAUGGCGCAUACAAAGAGAAGCGACCUCGCGAGAGCAAGCGGACCUCAUAAAGUGCGUCGUAGUCCGGAUUGGAGUCUGCAACUCGACUCCAUGAAGUCGGAAUCGCUAGUAAUCGUAAAUCAGAAUGUUACGGUGAAUACGUUCCCGGGCCUUGUACACACCGCCCGUCACACCAUGGGAGUGGGUUGCAAAAGAAGUAGAUAGCUUAACCUUCGGGAGGGCGUUUACCACUUUGUGAUUCAUGACUGGGGUGAAGUCGUAACAAGGUAGGCGUAGUGCU
Molecule: ribosomal RNA, 524 nt
Filed under: uncultured bacterium
Lineage: Bacteria
Description: bacterial SSU rRNA
Rfam family: Bacterial small subunit ribosomal RNA
Source: RNAcentral